AAGCGUGGUUACCAAACAGGAUUAGUACCCUGGUAGUCCACGCCGUAAACGAUGUGACCACCCGUUGGGUGCCUAGCGCACUUUGUGGCGAAGUUAACGCGAUAAGUCGACCGCCUGGGGAGUACGGCCCGCAAGGUUAAAACUCAAAUGAAUUGACGGGGGCCCGCACAAGCGGUGGAGCAUGUGGUUUAAUUCGAUGCAACGCGAAGAACCUUACCUACUCUUGACAUCCUGCGAAUUUGGUAGAGAUACCUUAGUGCCUUCGGGAACGCAGAGACAGGUGCUGCAUGGCUGUCGUCAGCUCGUGUUGUGAAAUGUUGGGUUAAGUCCCGUAACGAGCGCAACCCUUGUCCUUAUUUGCCAGCGCGUAAUGGCGGGAACUCUAAGGAGACUGCCGGUGACAAACCGGAGGAAGGUGGGGACGACGUCAAGUCAUCAUGGCCCUUACGAGUAGGGCUACACACGUGCUACAAUGGUCGGUACAAAGGGUUGCCAACUCGCGAGAGUGAGCCAAUCCCGAAAAGCCGAUCUCAGUCCGGAUCGGAGUCUGCAACUCGACUCCGUGAAGUCGGAAUCGCUAGUAAUCGUGGAUCAGAAUGCCACGGUGAAUACGUUCCCGGGCCUUGUACACACCGCCCGUCACACCAUGGGAGUGGACUGCACCAGAAGUGGUUAGCCUAACGCAAGAGGGCGAUCACCACGGUGUGGUUCAUGACUGGGGUGAAGUCGUAACAAGGUAGCCGUA
Molecule: ribosomal RNA, 745 nt
Filed under: Halomonas sp. A_wp02222
Lineage: Bacteria; Pseudomonadati; Pseudomonadota; Gammaproteobacteria; Oceanospirillales; Halomonadaceae
Description: bacterial SSU rRNA
Rfam family: Bacterial small subunit ribosomal RNA
Source: RNAcentral